UGGGGAAUUUUGGACAAUGGGGGCAACCCUGAUCCAGCAAUGCCGCGUGUGUGAAGAAGGCCUUCGGGUUGUAAAGCACUUUUGUCCGGGAAGAAAUCGCACCUGAUAAUACCGGGUGUGGAUGACGGUACCGGAAGAAUAAGGACCGGCUAACUACGUGCCAGCAGCCGCGGUAAUACGUAGGGUCCAAGCGUUAAUCGGAAUUACUGGGCGUAAAGCGUGCGCAGGCGGUUGUGCAAGACCGAUGUGAAAUCCCCGGGCUUAACCUGGGAAUUGCAUUGGUGACUGCACGGCUAGAGUGUGUCAGAGGGGGGUAGAAUUCCACGUGUAGCAGUGAAAUGCGUAGAGAUGUGGAGGAAUACCGAUGGCGAAGGCAGCCCCCUGGGAUAACACUGACGCUCAUGCACGGAAGCGUGGGGAGCAAACAGG
Molecule: ribosomal RNA, 429 nt
Filed under: Acidobacteriota bacterium
Lineage: Bacteria; Pseudomonadati; Acidobacteriota
Description: Acidobacteria bacterium partial 16S ribosomal RNA
Rfam family: Bacterial small subunit ribosomal RNA
Source: RNAcentral